GACGAACGCUGGCGGCGUGCUUAACACAUGCAAGUCGAACGGAAAGGCCCUGCUUUUGUGGGGUGCUCGAGUGGCGAACGGGUGAGUAACACGUGAGUAACCUGCCCUUGACUUUGGGAUAACUUCAGGAAACUGGGGCUAAUACCGGAUAGGAGCUCCUGCUGCAUGGUGGGGGUUGGAAAGUUUCGGCGGUUGGGGAUGGACUCGCGGCUUAUCAGCUUGUUGGUGGGGUAGUGGCUUACCAAGGCUUUGACGGGUAGCCGGCCUGAGAGGGGGACCGGCCACAUUGGGACUGAGGUACGGCCCAGACUCCUACGGGAGGCAGGAGUGGGGAAUAUUGCACAAUGGGCGGAAGCCUGAUGCAGCAACGCCGCGUGCGGGAUGACGGCCUUCGGGUUGUAAACCGCUUUCGCCUGUGACGAAGCGUGAGUGACGGUAAUGGGUAAAGAAGCACCGGCUAACUACGUG
RNAcentral lists this ribosomal RNA (468 nucleotides) under uncultured bacterium. RNAcentral's name for it is "partial 16S ribosomal RNA". It matches the Rfam family "Bacterial small subunit ribosomal RNA", at positions 28 to 507 of the family's 1533-position model. The record is from RNAcentral.